UACGUAGGGGGCUAGCGUUGUCCGGAAUCAUUGGGCGUAAAGCGCGUGUAGGCGGCCCGGUAAGUCCGCUGUGAAAGUCGGGGGCUCAACCCUCGAAAGCCCGGUGGAUACUGUCGGGCUAGAGUACGGAAGAGGCGAGUGGAAUUCCUGGUGUAGCGGUGAAAUGCGCAGAGUAUCAGGAGGAACACCCAUUGCGAAGGCAGCUCGCUGGGACGUUAACUGACGCUGGAGACGCGAAAGCGUGGGAGCAAACAGG
This 256-nucleotide ribosomal RNA is filed under the name uncultured bacterium. RNAcentral describes it as "partial 16S ribosomal RNA". It matches the Rfam family "Bacterial small subunit ribosomal RNA", at positions 524 to 776 of the family's 1533-position model. The record is from RNAcentral.